This 406-nucleotide ribosomal RNA is filed under the name uncultured bacterium. Its description in RNAcentral is "partial 16S ribosomal RNA". It matches the Rfam family "Bacterial small subunit ribosomal RNA", at positions 30 to 526 of the family's 1533-position model. The record is from RNAcentral.
AUUGAACGCUGGCGGCAGGCCUAACACAUGCAAGUCGAACGAGUGGCGGACGGGUGAGUAAUAUCUGGGAAACUGCCUGAUGGCGGGGGAUAACUACUGGAAACGGUAGCUAAUACCGCAUACUCUCGGAAGCGCCCAGAUGGGAUUAGCUAGUAGGUGGGGUAAAGGCUCACCUAGGCGACGAUCCCUAGCUGGUUUGAGAGGAUGACCAGCCACACUGGAACUGAGACACGGUCCAGACUCCUACGGGAGGCAGCAGUGGGGAAUAUUGCACAAUGGGCGAAAGCCUGAUGCAGCCAUGCCGCGUGUAUGAAGAAGGCCUUCGGGUUGUAAAGUACUUUCAGCAGGGAGGCGUUACCCGCAGAAGAAGCACCGGCUAACUACGUGCCAGCAGCCGCGGUAAUUC